UUUUUUUUUUUUUUUAAAUCUAAGGUUAAUUUUUUUAUGUUCAGAUUAUGUUCAUAUUUAUUCUGAUGUCAAGCUUGAAGUGAUCAGGUUUUUAAAUUUUAAACAGUGUUUAUUUCUAGAAAGAAGGAAUAAUUAAGCAAAAUUCUAUAAUAAUCUCAUGACGAGGAAAUAUUAGCCAACUCUUCCUUCUUUCACUUGCGGAGAUGUCAUUUUUUUUGCAGUGUACAAAACACUGACACUGGAGACUCCUUCCAAAAAAAAAAAAAAAGAGUUAAACAUCUCAUAACAGAAAAUGUAACAAUAUCAGUGAUUACAUGCUUUUUAAAAAACAACAACAAUAACAACAAAAACGAUUGAAUCCGUUUAUGUGCAGCCGGAACUACAUUCGAAACUGCUGUUUUAGAAAAUUAAUCAACUCCUUCCUUCGUUCUAAACCAAUCAGAUUUGAGAAUUCGACAGUGCUUUGGUCUGUGUGUGCUUUAUUAAGAAGUGUGCACAUUUCCUGUUUGUGCUUGAAUAAUGCAAAUUUUCUAAGGUAUUAGGUCAAACAUCAGUACAUCUGCCAUGUGGUUACACUUUGUACGUUACGUGCGCGCACUGCUCCACUCCCUGUCACAGAUUGCUGGUGGUCAUGUAGUCGGGAUGAUGUUUUCUACUGAGCAAAGCCUAAUCAGCAUUGUAGCAGGUGUAGCUUCUACACCACUCCUAAUCCGAAAUUUGGAAUAUUGGUUAUCCCAGGGUUUGCUAACGUAUGUGCGAGUGUGUCGACGGUUUUAUAGCUCAUCUAUAAGGAAAAGUUCCGUGUACUGUAAGUGUCCAAGUCUGAAGUUGGAGAUCGUGGAAGAAGAAUGCAUCAUAGGUCAACCCUGCUGAUCUCAUUUUUUAAAUUUUUUUAUUUUAAAUCUGAUUUAUAAUUAAACCAAAAAAAAAAAACAAAGAUAAAAGAUUCCCAUUUGGUUCAGAAUUCAGCUGGUUUUACGCGAUGUGGAAUUAAUAAUGGUGUGUUGUCCAGACUCCUUUGAUCUUUGCACUGAUUCAGGUGGAGAACUGUAAAGGCUUGUGAUGGUGCUUCAGUGUUGUACAGCCGGAAUAUGCCGUGUCUGGUGUACCUGUUCAACUCGAACCCUGGUUUUGUUUAUUUGUGCUCUUCUCAUGAAUGUUAACUAAAUUAAAACCCCAUUUCCAAACCAAUGAUUUGCGAGGGAAUGCUUUGUGUGUGUUGUAUGCGUGUUUCGCAUUAUUGGCAAACCAUGUGACUAAAUGAAAUGGACGCUGUGAUCGCUAUCUGUUUGCACUGCAAGAAUAAGCAAGACACAAUAUCUUCAAUAUAGGCAACUCUAUUUAAGUUAUAGUCUGUAACUCAACUAAUAUUUUUCUUAGAUUUAAAAAAAAAAAAAAAAAAAAAAACAUAUACAAGAUUGUUAACUCUUACUUCUAGCUUAGCAUUGUCUCAUUCUAUUGGCUGACAGAUAUUUUGGCUUCUUUCUAUAAAUAAUCACUUGAAAUGACCCCAAAUGAUCUGCCAAUAGAAUUAAGACUAUAAUAGAAUUUGUUUAUAUGUCUAGAAAUAGCUUUAAUGAUGUUGUACGUCUUAUAUAAUGAGCUUGUAUUGAGGAAUAUUAGCUAACAUACAAGAUGUCUCGCAGUGUAUUGUCCCAAAUAUUCAUGUCUGUAUCUGCACAGUUGAAAAAAACAAAGACAUCAUCGUAAAAAUAGAAGUAAAAAAAAAAAAAAAACCUUGAAUUAAUUGAAGUAAUUUUUCUAGUAUUGAUUACGAUAAAACAAAUGUAAGAUUAUUAAACUCAUUUGUAGGCCUUUUAAAACAAAUUCUAAGCUUUAAGUUUUGCUUAAACUCAAAUAUUAAAAAAAUGUAAUUAGUGAAAUGAUGUGCCAAUAGAACAAAAGGGAUACUGAAAUGAGUAAAGACGUGUAUUGUAAACCUAUAAUAGGAAACGGUAGAUAAAUGACUGAGGGAUUAAUCAUUUAGAAUAUUAUUUAAAUAUUUUUACUUCUAUGUUCAAAUUUUUUUACAGUGCGGAUACGGAUUCGAAUAUUUGGAACUUUUGGAUUUUUGACUAUAUUCGCUUACUAAGAUGGGCGUGGCCUAAACCAGAAAAUCGAUAUUUUUUUUGUUGUUUUUUGAACCCUGCCACUACAUAUGAAGUAGAAACACUGUAAAAUACUGCAGGGAAAAAAAUUACAGAGGUAGAAAUGCCAGCACUAUCAGCAUGUCGUCGUGAACAAACACGCAGUUUGUGCUGCGAGUUUCGCAGGAUCCCAGAAGAUCCCACAGGAUCCCAGAAAGAUCCCAGAGAGAUCCCAGAAAAUCCCACAGGAUCACCAAGAUCCCGUAAGAUCCCACGGGAUCCCGGAAAGAUCCCAGAAAAUCCCACAAAGAUCCCACAAGAUCCCAGAAAGAUCCCCAAAUCCUACAGGAUCCCACAGGAUCCCAGAAAGAUCCCAGAAAAUCCCACAGGAUCCCACAAGAUCCCAGAAGAUCCCACAGGAUCUGUGCUCCGAUGCUCACCUUUAAUUCCAACGAGAUACGGCGUGAACGUUUUCUGGCAAGUUACUCUGAAUAUAAUUAAUAAAGUAAAUAAAUAAAUAAACAACAAUGAUAUUACUGCACUUCUUAUUGGUAUCUGUAUUUGUUAUCUAUUCUAUCAUUCUCUAUUCAAUACAAGUUUACAUAUCCAUUUGAUCCUUGGCUGAUUAUUAUUUAUUUUUUCUGUCUCCCCAGAUCAACUUACAUUCGAGGCCUUAAUUAAGGAUUAAGGGUCUUGCUUAUGAACCGAACAGUCGCAGCUUGUCGGUGCUGGGGUUUGAUAUGAUGUCCUUUCCCUCAACAAACCUCGCCUUCUUUUUCCCCUGUGUGUCCAUUGCUGCUGAUAUUUCACCUGUGUAUGUGUGUGUGUAUUCACUGCUGGUGAUGCUUCUCUCACCUGUCUUUAACAUCAUGUCACGACUGGACAUCUGGGACAAAUCUGACCCGCAGACACGUUCGGCAGACGGUCCUCCGAUUCGCACGUCGCACACCUAUUCCAGUCACAGGUAUGUUAUAUGCGCAUCUGUGUAUGUUUGCUAUUGAGAAUGAAUGCAAAGAGACAACGUCAGGUCAAGAAUGUAUGUUUAACACACAUCUGCUGAACACACACACACACACACACACCUUUCCCUAUUAAAAGUCACUGUCACUCGUGCCCAGCUUGGCUUGCUGACUGCACAAGUGCAAGCAUUUGUCAACACAGCAGCUGGUGCACAAUGCCCUCUUGUAGCUUUAUGCCAUAGCAUAUGCCUGCCAUGCAAUAUGUGCUAAUUUAGCCCUGUGCUGCUACCUAUACCAACAGAUGGAGCGCUGCAUUGUCAUUCUCACCCCCAACCCCAAGCCUCAGGGGGAAGACAAGAAAUAAAAAACCACGCAUAUGGAGCUUGAUGUCGCUAUGCAAUUGGGAGAAUUUAUGAUAAAUACAAAGCUGUCCUUAAUACACAGGGCUUCAGGAAUGCAGUCUUAAGCCUUCUGGACUUUAAACUAACUUUUAACGUGACGUAUCGUGGCAUUACGUCGGGGUCGUCACAUCCGCAGAAUGGAUGUGAGUAGAUAUAAUAACAGGAAUAUUUUACACUUGUACUGUACAGGCUCAUCUCGGUGUGUGAUUACAGUCAGUAGAGGUGGUUUUAAGGGCCCAGACGUCCUCUUGACUCUCUCCGGAGAUCACAGUGGAUCUUUCUUUUGUCUUUUCUUUUGUCCACCUUGAGACAGAUUUCAGUUACACCACUCUGUCUUCUCUGUAAGUUUGCUCAUUGUCGUUGCUGAUGAUACUGAACACUGUAGUGUCCUGAUGUAGUUUAAGUAUAUAUAUAUAUAUUUUUGCAGUCUUUAGCGUGAACAGCAGUGGACCGAGUGUACAGCCCUGAGGGAUGCCGGUGUUGCCGGUGGUAGUGUUGCUGAUCCUGAUUAGUGACUAGUGUUCAGGCCCUGCAGGUCCGAUUUCAACUUCCGUAAACAGUAGGGCUGUACCCUCAUACCAAUACAUUAUUCUGAUUGAACACAUGAUGCGUUGUAAAUGAAUGCAAAUGCAGAUGCAAUUACAAGGAAAGAAAAGUUCCACUAGCAGGAGGGUUUUUUUUUUAUUUUUAAAAACUUCGUUUCAGGUGUAGUCAAGCAGUCAGACACGAAGCUCAAAUAAAGACCGUGAUUAUUAUUAUUAUUAUUAUUAUUAUUAUUAUUAUUAUUAAUGCGAAUGUACGGCGCAGUGUGACGCAUUUACAGCCUCUGUCCUAACAGCAAGGGUUUAAAUUAGACUCCUAGUUUGUUUACAUUUCGCGAAACAGAACCAGUUACAGAAAAUAUUUCAGGCAGGUAUUAAAAAAGCAAAAACAAACAGGUCCCAUGCAAAUUUCUUGAGUGGUGUAGCCCAGGCUACACCCACGUUAAUCCGGGUAGAUCCGAAAAGCGCAGCUGUAAAACACUCUUCGUCUUCUACGCUGGCGUUUUCAAACGUUUUCCAAAAGUUCCUCGUUCACGCACGCUGAAACGUCUGAAAACGCUCGCAUCCCCAUACUGCGUAGGCGUAUAAACAUGAGACGCUUUGCUCCGCGUCAUUUCCGUCGGGCGUUUAUUUAAACAUGCGAUCUGAAGGUUGUGCAAAGUGACAUUAAUCGUUAACAAAGCUAUCAAACUGUAUAGCAUUCACAACAGCUUCAGUACAACAUCGUCCGACGGCGUGUCCGUGUUGAGUCGAACGGGUCACGUGACUAAAAAUACGUCGUCGUUUUCUAAUAUCUCCGAAUAUCUCUGGCGUUUUCGAAUUUAAUUACUUGGGGUAGCGUUUUCAAAAAGCUUCGUUUUCGCCGCUUCGGUGUGGAGGGAAAGCCGAAACGCAGAGGAAACUUCACCCUGGUUUAUGUAGACGUAGCCUGACGUGCUUUAACUACAUAAAUAAACAGACAAACAAAUAAAUAAAUAAAACACCGAUGUACCAGGCUAUGUUACGAAAAAAAAAAAAAGCGUGUAGUGUUUAUUUCCUUUUGUUUGAUCAAUUAAAAAUCCAUUUGCCAGGUAUUUUAAUUUGAAGACGGAGAGGCGACCCACUUACUAACGGAAUAUACACCAGUAGGCGUGUGUGCGUGUGUGUGUGUGUGUGUGUGCGUGCAUGUAUAUGCGUGUGUGUCUUGAUUCUGAGCUUUUUAACACGUAAAAAAGACUGAAUUGCACAUGCUACAUGUGUAUCUGUUCUAAAAACACGCUAAUAAUACAGGGACUAGCUGCAAGCUGCGCUAUGCGAUUUGGUUAAUUGGCUCGUAGCAUAGAAAUUCCGUCAAACCGACUUCCUGAGGAGGGAAAAACAAACACAUCGUACAAUGACCGUCUUUCGCUUUAUCACCUUUAAAGGAAAUCACCGUUUUCCUGUUGUCUGAGUGAAACUCUUUCGGUCGACCGGUCGUGUUCGGAUGAAACAAUUUCAAGCCAAUCAUCGGUAACACAAUGCAGCGCUCGGAUUUGCUUUAACUCCGUCUGAUAGCAGCUUUCGCGCUCGGCCUUCAGAACUCCAGUGAUUAUCUGGAUUACGUCGAGGUGGUCAAGAUUGAUAAACGGCAUUAACUCGGCUGCUGUGUGUUUAGCCGGCUGGUCUGGAAAGUUUUUCCCACCGCUACGACGUAAUGUCUGCGAUUUGGCUUAAAUCUGUUCUUCCCUGAAUCUAAAUUGAAACGUAUUACUCGCCUGUGAAAGGAUCUGCUUCGCGGUAAAGAUCAUGAUUUAGAGUUUUAUAGACGACGUUACAAUCCAAAUAAAACGGCACAGACAUGUGACAAAUUAAAGGAAAAUAUAACCCCCUGGCUCUAUUAUGAUGUGGGAGGCGGAUGUUUGUUUGUUUUUUUUUUUUUUUUUUCUGGUGUGGUUUGAAUCCACUUAGAGGGAAGCAUCUGCAAAUCACCUUUAUCCUAUGAUGAAACUUUACUAUCCUGGUGGGCGUGGUCUCUCAAAUUGAACACAAUGAACUUGGCGAUGAAGAAGUAAAUCCUUUCUAAUCUGGACGUUCUUUCUUCACGUUGUAGUGAAGGAAGAUCAAGGCGAGAGAAGGAGAAGAUGGAGAGAUGAGAUGAGAGGAGAGGAGAGGAGAGAGCAGGGUACUAUAAGACGGGAAAUAGAGCACACUGAGGAGAUCUAUGAAGAGGAAUAGAUAACAGGAUGGAGAGAAGAGAGGAAAGGAUAUAGAUUAAGAUAUAGAUUUGUUCUGGAUGCAUGCGGUUAUAGGAAAAUAGUCAGUGAGAGUUAAGAGCAGUUACUAAUGCCACCGCAACGUGGCGUAUUUUUCGAUGACAUCACAUCCUGAAAGCGUUUUAUUCCUCUUAUACCACAGUAUUUUGCCUUGUGAACUACGUCUUAGAACGAGCGCAUUAAUAUAACCUGAGCUGUACUGUCAGACUAAGUUAAUCAACACCUUCGGACCAAUCAGGUUCGAGAAUUCAUCAAUUCAUCAUCAUGAGAAUUUCAACUUUAUAUUCAAAAUGAAAAGGAUCGUCCAUGUUUAGGAAUAUUAUAAGAAAAUAAA
Long non-coding RNA from Ictalurus punctatus (channel catfish), 6554 nucleotides. The record is from Ensembl. NCBI's taxonomy places the organism in Eukaryota, Metazoa, Chordata, Actinopteri, Siluriformes, Ictaluridae.